RNAcentral lists this ribosomal RNA (445 nucleotides) under uncultured bacterium. RNAcentral describes it as "partial 16S ribosomal RNA". It matches the Rfam family "Bacterial small subunit ribosomal RNA", at positions 29 to 523 of the family's 1533-position model. The record is from RNAcentral.
AGCGAACGCUGGCGGCAGGCUUAACACAUGCAAGUCGAACGCCCCGCAAGGGGAGUGGCAGACGGGUGAGUAACACGUGGGAACGUACCCUUGGUUCGGAAUAACUUGGGGAGACUCAAGCUAAUACCGGAUAAGCCCUUAUGGGGAAAGGUUUACUGCCGAAGGAUCGGCCCGCGUCUGAUUAGCUAGUUGGUGAGGUAAUGGCUCACCAAGGCGACGAUCAGUAGCUGGUCUGAGAGGAUGAUCAGCCACACUGGGACUGAGACACGCCCAGACUCCUACGGGAGGCAGCAGUGGGGAAUAUUGGACAAUGGGGGCAACCCUGAUCCAGCCAUGCCGCGUGAGUGAUGAAGGCCUUAGGGUUGUAAAGCUCUUUUACCCGGGACGAUAAUGACUGUACCGGGAGAAUAAGCCCCGGCUAACUUCGUGCCAGCCGCCGCAGUAA